RNAcentral lists this ribosomal RNA (514 nucleotides) under uncultured bacterium. RNAcentral describes it as "partial 16S ribosomal RNA". It matches the Rfam family "Bacterial small subunit ribosomal RNA", at positions 28 to 523 of the family's 1533-position model. The record is from RNAcentral.
GAUGAACGCUGGCGGCGUGCCUAAUACAUGCAAGUCGAGCGCGAGAGUGAGGAGCUUGCUCCUCAUAAUCGAGCGGCGGACGGGUGAGUAACACGUAGGCAACCUACCCUUGAGAUUGGGAUAACUACCGGAAACGGUAGCUAAUACCGGAUACGACUUUUCCACACAAGUGGAAUUGUUAAAAGGCGGAUUUAUCUGCCGCUCAUGGAUGGGCCUGCGGUGCAUUAGCUAGUUGGUGAGGUAGUGGCUCACCAAGGCGACGAUGCAUAGCCGACCUGAGAGGGUGAUCGGCCACACUGGGACUGAGACACGGCCCAGACUCCUACGGGAAGCAGCAGUAGGGAAUCUUCCGCAAUGGACGCAAGUCUGACGGAGCAACGCCGCGUGAGUGAUGAAGGGUUUCGGCUCGUAAAACUCUGUUGUUAAGGAAGAACACUUGAGGUAGUAACUGGCCUUGAGAUGACGGUACUUAACCAGAAAGCCACGGCUAACUACGUGCCAGCAGCCGCGGUAA